UGGGAUUAAAACGGGCACAAUGAACUCCUCAUAGCAUCUUCUUUGGGAUUACUCAGGAACCAGAACUUUUCACACAAAUGUAAGAAAUUCUACCAAGGAAUCCCUUUGCCUAACAGCAUCUCACACAGCUCCAAUCAGAUGCCAGAAAAGGCCUCUUGAUACAUCCAGGUAGAACCUA
Molecule: non-coding RNA, 178 nt
Organism: Equus caballus (horse)
Lineage: Eukaryota; Metazoa; Chordata; Mammalia; Perissodactyla; Equidae
Source: Rfam